This 593-nucleotide ribosomal RNA is filed under the name uncultured bacterium. RNAcentral's name for it is "bacterial SSU rRNA". It matches the Rfam family "Bacterial small subunit ribosomal RNA", at positions 338 to 916 of the family's 1533-position model. The record is from RNAcentral.
CCUACGGGAGGCAGCAGUAGGGAAUCUUCCGCAAUGGACGAAAGUCUGACGGAGCAACGCCGCGUGAGCGAUGAAGGCCUUCGGGUCGUAAAGCUCUGUUGUUAGGGAAGAACAAGUAUCGUUCGAAUAGGGCGGUACCUUGACGGUACCUAACCAGAAAGCCACGGCUAACUACGUGCCAGCAGCCGCGGUAAUACGUAGGUGGCAAGCGUUGUCCGGAUUUAUUGGUCCGUAAAGCGCGCGCAGGCGGUCUUUUAAGUCUGAUGUGAAAUCUCGGGGCUCAACCCCGAGCGGGUCAUUGGAAACUGGGAGACUUGAGUGCAGAAGAGAAGAGCGGAAUUCCACGUGUACGGUGAAAUGCGUAGAGAUGUGGAGGAACACCAGUGGCGAAGGCCGGCUCUUUGGUCUGUAACUGACGCUGAGGCGCGUAAGCGUGGGGAGCGUACAGGAUUAGAUACCCUGGUAGUCCACGCCGUAAACGAUGAGUGCUAAGUGUUAGAGGGUUUCCGCCCUUUAGUGCUGCAAGCUAACCGCAUUAAGCACUCCGCCUGGGGAGUACGGCCGGCAAGGCUGAAACUCAAAGGAAUUGACGG